Podarcis lilfordi (Lilford's wall lizard) is the source of this 6551-nucleotide non-coding RNA. NCBI's taxonomy places the organism in Eukaryota, Metazoa, Chordata, Lepidosauria, Squamata, Lacertidae. The record is from the annotation of a GenBank genome assembly.
UGGGGCCUCCGCCGCCGGGGAGAGGGCCCCCAUCCCACCCCCGAAACCGGGGAAUUGGUGCCACCUGUAAGCCCCAAACCCCACCAAGGAACUAACCUGAGGAAGUCCAGAGAAGAUCCUGGCCUGGCAAGAAAACAAAGUGACCCUGGCCAAAGUUAAUCAGCUCUUUACUGACCCUUGCCCCCACCCCCAGCUUGUAGCCAGGUACACCCACCCUCAGCACAGGUAAGGAAAAAAAAUGUCAAUUUUUUUCAUCUACAAUACUGUCUUAUUUAUUUUAUAAUACAGUACAUUGAUUAUUGCCUUCAUUUUAUGGAUCUAUGGUCUCGUUAGACAGUAAAAUCUGUGUUAAAUUGCUGUUUUAGGGAGUGUUUUUCAUCGUCUAGAACGGAUCAGUUCACUUUUCCAUUACUUUCUAUGGAAAAGUGCGCCUCUACUUAUGUACAUUUCUAGUUAUGACCGGACCUCUGGAAUGGAUUAUGGUUGUAAGUAGAGGUUCCACUGUAUAGCAAGCUGUGGGUUGGUGGUGGUCUGUUACAUGCACACUGGAUUCAGCACUAUUUUUUAUGUUUAGAGAAACAUCAUCUGUAAGGGAUGAUUCAGAAGUUUACAAUUCCUUGAAGGAGAGGUACUUGAAAAUGAUGCACAGAUGGUAUUUAACUCCGAGUAGGCUUGCUAAGACGCGAGUGGCGCUGUGGGUUAAACCACAGAGCCUAGGACUUGCCAAUCAGAAGGUCGGUGGUUCGAAUCCCCACGACGGGGUGAGCUCCCGUUGCUCGGUCCCUGCUCCUGCCAACCUAGCAGUUCGAAAGCACGUCAAAGUGCAAGUAGAUAAAUAGGUACCGCUCCGGCGGGAAGGUAAACGGCAUUUCCGUGCGCUGCUCUGGUUCGCCAGAAGCGGCUUAGUCAUGCUGGCCACAUGACCCAGAAGCUGCAUGCCGGCUCCUUCGGCCAAUAAAGCGAGAUGAGCGCCGCAACCCCAGAGUCGGUCACGACUGGACCUAAUGGUCAAGGGUCCCUUUACCUUCACCUUUAGGCUUGCUAAGAUGUAUAAGACUGAAUCAGGUAAGUGCUGGAGAGGUUGAGGGUACAUUCUUUCACAUGUGGUGAACCUGUAAAAGGGUAAAAGUGUAUUGGGAAAUAAUUUAUAAUGAAUUGGAAAAAAAUGGUUAAAAGCACUUUUACAAAAAAACAGAGUCCUUUUCAUUGGGGAUAAUUCAGAGGGAAAUCCCCAGGUGUCAAAAAUGUUUUUUUAUGUAUGCCACUACUGCAGCCCAUGUUUUGUUAGUCCCAAAAUGGAAAACGAGCAAAGUCCCAACUAAAGAAGAAUGGCAACUUAAACUGAUGGAAUAUGUGCAGCUUGCAGACGUAACAUAAAGAAUAAGAGAUGUUUGAAGAAGACUGGAAAAUGUUUACUGAAUAUAUGGAGGAAAAUUGUGUAUAUUGUGGCAGCAUUAAGAUAAAUUCAACAGUGUAAAGGUUUUGGUGGAUGUAAUAAUGGAAUGCUGAAGGGUUUAGUUUAUAUAAAAUACGCAGGGAUUAACAUUAUGCAAAUGAACCAUGGAAAGAGAAGAAGGGAAGUCAUUGAUAUUUUAAGGUUGUUUAAAUGAAUAUUCUAAAUUGUAAAACAGAAAAUUAUCUAUCUAUCUAUCAUCUCUCUCUCUCUCUCUCUCUCUCCAAUGCAGAAGCAGCAGGAAAUGCUUAACCCUUUCAUCGCCUGCUUUUUCUCUGCUUCAAAACUCUCAAUGCAAGCAACUAUUUCCUGUCCAGGAUAUCAGCUUUGCAUUUGCUGUUUAGAAAUAUACACUUGGAAGCCUGAAUGGUGAGGGGAAAGCAGGUGAGGAAAGGAUUAGGUGUGCCAUCUUCCUCCAUUACUUCUCAGUUCUCAAUUGCCCCACUUCCUACACUGCUUAAAAUUAUUAUUAUUAUUAUUAUUAUUAUUAUUAUUAUUAUUAUUUUGUGAAUACCAUGGAGUUAACGUCUUUCUUGGAAGAUAGGAUACAGUCCUUCCUGAACUAUGGAGAAUGGUUAGGGGAUGAUGGAAACUGUAGUUCAAAAAACCUAAAUUGUGCCAGGUUGGGGGAAUGCCAUCACCUUCAUGCAGGUAAUCUAGACACACAAGUGGGGAUUGUGAUCUCUGAUUCCACUCCUGCAAGAAAUACUGCAAUCCAGCUUUGAGAAAACUUGAUUUUCUUUCUUGAAAUGCAAGUUGUAUGAAGCACUCCCCACCCACCCCCAAUCCCUGUGUGGUUGUGAAACAUUAUAUAACUAAUCUGCCCAUAAUGAAAGCAGCCAGCAGUGGUUAGAUGAAAACAACAGAGAUAUUGUUUGAUAUAUCUCAUUAUCCAAUACUCCUGUUCCAGUAGAACUGCAGGGGCAGUCAUGUCAGUUUCAUAAUUAGCUGAAGGACAUAAAUUGUGCUCACUGUCACACCAUCGAACGACUGUAUUUUGAUAAUAUAUGGUAAUGCAACUGUUUAAUGAGAGCAUUGUCAAUAUAAUAAUAAUGGCUCCAGCUGUCAUUGCUGUAGGGUGAGCACUCUGCAAGGGGUGGAAGAAGUCUAAUGAUAGGACAGUGCUAAAGGGGAGAUUAGAUUAAUAAAAGAUCAAUAGGCAAGCUCUGUUCCACAAGCCUGAUGAUUAUGCUCUCUGAAGAGAGUGCUUGAUUUUGAUUGAUUCAUCAGGCGGCUAUGAGAUCAAAAGCAGGUCACUAUUCCUUAUCUAUCAACACAUUGAAAUUCUACCUUUAAUAAACUAAGAAAUGCUGUAUCAUUCUCAGAAGAAUCCUAUACCUUGUUUAUGAAUGAGUAAGUUCUCUUGUGUCCCAUUGGAUUUCCUCCCAUGUAAAUGUGAAUAAUAAUAAUAAUAAUAAUAAUAAUAAUAAUUUAUUAUUUAUACCCCGCCCAUCUGGCUGGGCUUCCCCAGCCACUCUGGGCAGCUUCCCAAAAAAUAUUAAAAUACAGUAAUCCAUCAAACAUUAAAAGCUUCCCUAAACAGGGCUGCCUUUAGAUGUCUUCUAAAAGUCUGGUAGUUGUUAUUCUCUUUGACAUCUGGUGGAAGGGUGUUCCACAGGGAAGGCGCCACUACCGAGAAGGCCCUCUGCUUGGUUCCCUCUAACCUCACUUCUCACAGGGAGGGAACCUUCAGAAAGCACUGGAUCUCAGUGUCCGGGUAGAAUGAUGGGGGUGGAGACGCUCCUUCAGGUAUACUGGGCUGAGGCCAUUUAGGGCUUUAAAUGUCAACACCAACACUUUGAAUUGUGCUCAGGAAUGUACUGGGAGCCAAUGUAGGUCUUUCAAGACUGGUGUUCUGUGGUCUCGGCGGCCACUUCCAGUCACCAGUCUAGCUGCCGCAUUCUGGAUUAGUUGUCCAGUGUUGCGGCCUCAUUUCUCCCCAAAUUUGCUCUAGGUGGUAGCUCUAAUUUUGCUCGGCGAAUCAUGUAGGCCAUGAGAUAUUGACAAAGAAGAACACGAGCUGAUAAGAGCACUGUGGGCUCAGAGGACUGCAGGCCAGGAAGUCAACGCAGCGAGGAAUUCAGAGGUGAGUGAACUGACGUUAGAUAUUGACAGUUACAGGUAUUGAUAUGAACUCACUACCCAGAUCUUUUAGAUACCAGCCUAUGAGUAUCUCUUAAGGUUGUGUCGCAUUUCACUCUGGUAUAGAAGAUGUCUUUUGAUAUGGAAUGUGAAGCGGAGGCAUAUAGGCUCAAAUAAUCUGUUGUGCCUCAGGCACAGAGUUCUUGCAUGCAGUUUUGGUACAUCUUGCUUCACUAGUGAGUGUCCCUGAUGAAGCUGAGUCGAGGUACACAUUUAUAUGAAUGGUAUUUAGUGUGGUAAGAAGCAUAUAGCCAAUGGGGCAUCGACCAAAAUCUUCGAGAAACAAACUGCUAAGUAGUGAGGGGAGAGAUUUCGUCAGGCAAGGCCUCUUUCCACUUGCCUUGCCCUACCCUCUAGUCUCUGCUUCUCAAUUUGUAUUUUAUUAUUUUAUGCACUGUGGCUUGCCAUUGUUUUAUUGAUUAUAGUUUAGAAAUUAUUUAUUGUAACUGUUUAGUGGAUUUCUGUUAAAUUUUUAUAUGUUAUUAUUAUUUAAUACUACUCUAAUGAUUGUUGAAUGUUAGUUUUUGAUGUAGGUUGCCUAUUUAAAAGUUAUGUUUUAUUAUCACAUUUUUGUAUUGCAUUAGAUUGUUAUAAGAUGUAUGGUACAUUUUUUGUUUCUUCAGCUUGUAAACUGCCUUGAGUAUUGUAAGACAGAAAGACGGUAUACAAAUUAAAAAUGAUGAUGAUGGCAUUUUGAAUUUAUAUAUUCCCCUUUUCCUCCUGUGUAUUUGCCAAGUAUCUUUUAGCACAGGGAAGAUAACCUUUCCCCUUUUUCACACUGAGGUCCAGCUUUGAGGGCCGUCUGGCAGUUCCCUCACUGCAAGGUUACAGGGAACUUGGCAGAGGGCCUUCUCGGUAGUGGCACCCACCCUGUGGAACGCCCUCCCAUCAGAUGUCAAGGAAAUAAACAACUAUCUGACUUUUAGAAGACAUCCGAAGGCAGCCCUGUAGAGGGAAGUUUUUAAUGUUUGAUAUUUUAUUGUGUUUUUAAUAUUCUGUUGGGAGCCAUUCAGAGUGGAUUGGGAAACCCAGUCAGAUGGGCGGGGGUAUAAAUAAAUUAUUAUUAUUAUUAUCAUUAUUAUUAUUAUUAUCAUUAUCAUUAUCAUUUUUAUUGCUAUGGGAACCAGACGCAAAUGCUGGCAGAGCAACAUGUGUGACUCUUACUUUUGUGUCAUAGACUAUGUGCCAGCCACAUGAACUAUAUGCACACACAAACCACACAUUUCUUCUUCUAUCCAGGCAUGCAAAUGGCAUCAUUACAGUUUUCAUAGAAUCAAAGAAUUGCAGAGAUGGAAGGGACAUGAAGGAUCAUCUAAUCCAACCCCCUACAAUGCAGGAAUAUGCAGAUGCCCCUUACAGAGAUUGAACCCACAACCUUGGCAUUAUUAGCACCACGCUUUAACCAACUGAGCUAUCCAGAAGAUUGUUAGACACCUUUGGACCAAAGCACAAGGCAAAGGCACAAGGGAGGCCUAGAGCCAGGUUGGUGCGGGUUGUGGCCUUGGAAGAGUUCCAGUGGUAAGACAGAGAGGUCCAGAGGGUCACAUUUUAAAGGGACGUGGGUAGUGCUGUGGUCUAAACCACUGAGCCUCUUGGGCUUGCCUAUCAGAAGGUUGGUGGUUUGAAUCCUCGUGAUGGGGUGAGCUCCUGUUGCUCUGUCCCAGUUCCUGCCAACCUAGCAGUUCGAAAGCACCUCAGAGCAAGUAGAUAAAUAGGUACCGUUGUGGCAGGAAAGUCAACAGUGUUCCGUGCACUCUGGUUUCCAUCACGGUGUCCCAUUGUGCCAGAAGCGGUUUAGUCAUGCUGGCCACAUGACCCGGAAAGCUGUCUGUGGACAAACACUGGCUCCUUUGGCCUGAAAGCAAGAUGAGCGCCGCAACCCCAUAGUCACUUUUGACUGGACUUAACCGUCUAGGGUUAAGCACAGCAGCACUCAUGUUCUAGUGUUAUGUAUAACUGUGGAUCAGCGGUUGUCCCAAAGCUUUCAUUUAUAGGUCCUUUCCCUCAAGUCUUUUACCUGCUGGCAAGUUGCAAGAUGACACCUAGCAACAGCAGCCCAGGUUGAUGAAAUGGCUCAUCACCCAGAACAUUCUGCUUUUCGUAACUUAACAAACCAUACCAUGAAGGAAGUGAAUGACAUCUUAGUGAAUCCUUUGGUAAAGUGGAUUCUUCCCUCAUCAGUGUUUGGUUUUCUAAUCUUCCUGCUUCAUCUGCCAUAGCUCAUAACUUCACCACCAUUACCUCAGAUACUGAGAUGGACCAGUGGUGGCAAAGACAAUGAUGUUGUCACACUUGGUCUCUCCAUGGGGUCCACAGAUGUCUGAAUGCAUUCUAAGGCAGCUCUUGUAAGGGAAAGGGAAAAGGAUGGAAUGCCCUGUUGCAGACCCAGAGAGCUGUGUUGUUUGCCUUCAAUGCCGGGCUGCGGACACAACUUUGCACAUCUUCUAGAGAAAGCCUCUAUUUACGAUGAAAGAUUUGUGACAGAAUCAAUGGAUACGAGUACAAGAGACAGAAGUCUCUAAAAGAUGAUGUGCAUUGAUGAUGGUUGACAGUGGGUUACUGAAUAUGAUAGGAAGUCAUUGUAGGAAGUCAUUGUAGUGCCAGGGAUGUCACUAUUAUUUCUACACAGGCUCAUUCAUCCCCUAGGCAAACAAACAAACAAACCCAGAAGGGAAUUGAGGUGCCAUCAAAUUUUGCUACAAGCAAACUUCAUCAGAGGCAGACCAUUAGUCCUGAAAUGGCAAAAUUAACCGGGAAGCUCAGAAAUCAAGAAGACAAGAGCUUUAAAAAAGAAAGGGGAACGUUUACAAUUUAUUUACAAGACCAUUGUAAGCAGUUUAGAACAUUAGCAGGAUUUUAGCCACACUUGUAAAUUAAUGGAAAGUAUGGACAAUUUGGAAAGACAAAAUGUGAACAGCACUGAUAUGCAGAUGUAAAUAUUAUCACUAGGACCCAU